UCCCGGUUAGCCCGGGCAGUCUCGUUUGAAAAAUACAACAAACGACAAGGGUUUCGCUCGUUGCGGGACUUAACCCAACAUCUCACGACACGAGCUUAAGACGGCCAUGCAACACCUGUCACUGGGCUCCCGAAGGCACCCCACUGUUUCCAGCGGGUUCCCAGGAUGUCAAGCCUUGGUAAGGUUCUUCGCGUAUCAUCGAAUUAAACCACAUGCUCCACCGCUUGUGCGGGUCCCCGUCAAUUCCUUUGAGUUUUAGCCUUGCGGCCGUACUCCCCAGGCGGGAUGCUUAACGCGUUAGCUUCGCAACGCAAAGGGUCGAUACUUCACACUACUAGCAUCCAUCGUUUACGGCGUGGACUAC
RNAcentral lists this unclassified non-coding RNA (364 nucleotides) under uncultured bacterium. RNAcentral's name for it is "contains 16S-23S intergenic spacer region". The record is from RNAcentral.